RNAcentral lists this long non-coding RNA (255 nucleotides) under Ananas comosus (pineapple). Its description in RNAcentral is "long non-coding RNA (ACOM_LNC042053)". The record is from RNAcentral. Lineage: Eukaryota; Viridiplantae; Streptophyta; Magnoliopsida; Poales; Bromeliaceae.
GUCGGCGUAACUUAGGGGUAUAGAAAAUGAAAGGAAUAAAAUGUAUUAAACUUGUAAUAACUUAGAUUGUAUUUGGAAGUUGAAUGUAAUAUAUAAAGUGUGAUGUAAGUAAAUGAAUCUAAUGUGAAUGUUGUAAUAACAUAGGAUGUGUUUAUGUUGUUUGAUACUUCCUUACGCAAUCAUGAUUGAUAUCUGUUCCUGAUUGGAACCAUUGUAAUGUACAUUGUUUGGAUUGCGACGCCUAGAACGUACAGG